Molecule: ribosomal RNA, 253 nt
Filed under: uncultured bacterium
Lineage: Bacteria
Description: partial 16S ribosomal RNA
Rfam family: Bacterial small subunit ribosomal RNA
Source: RNAcentral
UACGUAGGGGGCAAGCGUUGUCCGGAUUUAUUGGGCGUAAAGAGCGUGUAGGCGGCCGCACAGGUCCGUUGUGAAAACUCGAGGCUCAACUUCGAGCUGUCGGUGGAAACUUUCUGGCUAGAGUCCGGAAGAGGAGAAUGGAAUUCCUGGUGUAGCGGUGAAAUGCGCAGAUAUCAGGAAGAACACCCGUGGCGAAGGCGGUUCUCUGGGACGGUACUGACGCUGAGACGCGAAAGCGUGGGGAGCGAACAGG